AACGCAAAUCCUAAUACAAAUAUAAAUGCAAAUGCCAAUCAUCCCC
This 46-nucleotide small RNA is filed under the name Chaetoceros affinis. RNAcentral describes it as "partial transfer-messenger RNA". The record is from RNAcentral. Lineage: Eukaryota; Bacillariophyta; Thalassiosirophyceae; Chaetocerotales; Chaetocerotaceae.